This 596-nucleotide ribosomal RNA is filed under the name uncultured bacterium. RNAcentral describes it as "bacterial SSU rRNA". It matches the Rfam family "Bacterial small subunit ribosomal RNA", at positions 344 to 916 of the family's 1533-position model. The record is from RNAcentral.
GGAGGCAGCAGUCGGGAAUUUUGGACAAUGGGGGAAACCCUGAUCCAGCGACGCCGCGUGAAGGAAGAAGGCUUUCGGGUUGUAAACUUCUUUUCACCAGGAGGCCGUCACUUAAAUUUUCGUAAUAUUACGAAAAUUUAAGUGACGGAUACAGUACUGGUGGAAUAAGUCACGGCUAACUACGUGCCAGCAGCCGCGGUAAUACGUAGGUGGCAAACGUUAUCCGGAAUUACUGGGUGUAAAGCGUUCGUAGGUUUUCUGUAAGGUCUUUGAUCAAAUUCGCAAGCUUAACUUGCGACCGGUUAUAGAAACCGCCAGAAUAGAAGGGUAUCGAGGUAAGUGGAAUUUGCGGUGUAGCAGUGAAAUGCGUUGAUAUCGCAAGGAACACCAAUGGCGAAGGCAGCUUACUAGGUAUCAUUUGACACUGAGGAACGAAAGCGUGGGUAGCAAACGGGAUUAGAUACCCCGGUAGUCCACGCCUUAAACGAUGGAUACUAGAUUUUGGUAGUAUCGACCCUAUCAGAAUCGAAGCAAACGCGAUAAGUAUCCCACCUGGGGAUUACGGCCGCAAGGCUAAAACUCAAAGGAAUUGACGG